RNAcentral lists this ribosomal RNA (318 nucleotides) under Meloidogyne sp. Pak.S.R.38. Its description in RNAcentral is "partial 18S ribosomal RNA". It matches the Rfam family "Eukaryotic small subunit ribosomal RNA", at positions 1064 to 1829 of the family's 1831-position model. Lineage: Eukaryota; Metazoa; Nematoda; Chromadorea; Rhabditida; Meloidogynidae. The record is from RNAcentral.
ACUUUUACAUAAGCUUUGUAUGGCCCCGUGAGAGGUGAAUUCUUGGUGGGGAGCUUCCCGGAAACGAAAGUCUUCCGGCUGGGAAAGUAUGGUUGCAAAGCUGAAACUUAAAGGAAUUGAAAGGAAUAAGCCCGUCGCUGCCCGGGACUGAGCCAUUUCGAGAAAUUUGGGGACCGUUGAUUUAAUUUUUCUAAAUUACUCCGUAAGAAACCAAUUUAAUCGCAGUGGCUUGAACCCGGGGGAAGUGGGUGUCUUCAAACUGAAACUCUUUUGAUUCUUUGCUAUCUGUCAACGGGGGGGGGGAGGCCUGCGGAUUAU